Non-coding RNA from Mus caroli (Ryukyu mouse), 1203 nucleotides. The record is from RefSeq and is a predicted model, not a curated record. NCBI's taxonomy places the organism in Eukaryota, Metazoa, Chordata, Mammalia, Rodentia, Muridae.
GUGGCCCUGGCUCCCCGGCUCCCUGCAGCUCCGAGGCAGCAGCAUGGGUGGCGCGCGGGACGUGGGCUGGGUGGCAGCAGGGCUGGUCCUGGGCGCCGGCGCCUGCUACUGUAUCUACCGGCUGACUCGGGGACCGCGACGAGGCGGUCGCCGACUGCGCCCUUCUCGAUCCGCAGAAGACCUAACUGAUGGCUCCUAUGACGAUAUCUUAAAUGUGGAACAGCUUGCGAAACUUCUGUAUCUGCUGGAGUCAACCGACGAUCCUAUCAUUACUGAAAAGGCCUUGGUCACCUUGGGAAAUAAUGCAGCCUUUUCCACUAACCAGGCCAUUAUUCGUGAGUUGGGUGGUAUCCCAAUUGUUGGAAACAAAAUCAACUCCCUGAACCAAAGUAUUAAAGAGAAAGCUUUAAAUGCACUGAAUAACCCGAGUGUAAAUGUUGAAAAUCAAACUAAGAUAAAGAUAUACGUCCCUCAAGUCUGUGAAGACGUCUUUGCUGAUCCCCUGAACUCUGCGGUGCAGCUGGCUGGACUGAGGCUGCUGACAAACAUGAUGGUCACCAACGACUACCAGUACCUGCUCAGCGGCUCCGUUGCUGGCCUGUUCCACCUGCUGCUUCUGGGAAAUGGAAGCACCAAGGUUCAGGUUUUGAAGCUGCUUUUGAAUUUGUCUGAGAAUCCAGCCAUGACAGAAGGACUACUGAGUGUCCAAGUGGAUUCUUCAUUCCUUUCCCUUUAUGAGGGCCAAGUAGCAAAUGAGAUUCUUCUUCGGGCUCUUACACUGUUUCAGAAUAUAAACAAUUGCCUCAAAGUGGAAGACCGGUUAGCUAAUGAGAUUCCUUUUGCUAAAGGGUCAUUGUUUUUUCUGUUAUACGGAGAAGAAUGUGCCCAGAAAAUGAGAGCUUUAGCCUGUCAUCAUGAUGUGGAUGUGAAAGAGAAGGCUUUAGCAAUAAAGCCGAAAUUCUGAUCAGUUGCUCCUAUUUUUAUCAAAGACUCAAACAGGAAUGCAGUCUUAAGUCAGCACACAGGAACGUUCACCUUCCUUUAAAAGGGUUCUUUCAGCCGAUGGAGUUAAACAGCAAAAGUGAGUGAGCAGCUCUAAUCCAACUGGAUGUUCAGAUUUUUAGAUUUUGGAGUAGUUCGGGUUUGGGGUUUGGGGAAGGAGUAGAGUCUGGAACCUUCAGAGGAUGUGGAUCACUUAUGGGG